Molecule: ribosomal RNA, 794 nt
Filed under: Gyalolechia fulgens
Lineage: Eukaryota; Fungi; Ascomycota; Lecanoromycetes; Teloschistales; Teloschistaceae
Description: SSU rRNA
Rfam family: Bacterial small subunit ribosomal RNA
Source: RNAcentral
GCUAACUGCACUAAAAAUUUUAGUGUAAAAUCGACUAUGUUGAAUAAAAUUCUGGGUAGUACUAUGAUAAUGACAUUACAUAUUCAUAAGUCUUGACCAAAUUACGUGCCAGCAGUCGCGGUAAUACGUAGAAGACAAGUGUUAUUCAUCUUUAAUAGGUUUAAAGCGUACUUAGACGGUAAAUCAAGCCUCCAAAGGGACUAAUUUGCUAGAGUUUUAUGUGAGAAAGUAUUAAAGUACUGUUGGUGUAGAGAUGAAAUUCUGUCAUACCUUAGAAUGGCACAGGUUAUGGCGAAAGCAUCUUUUUAUGUAAAAACUGACGUUGAAGGACGAAGGCUUUGUGUCUCGAACAGGAUUAGAUACCCUAGUAGUCUAAGCAGACAAUGAUGAAUGUCAUAGAUUAGAUGUAAUUUGAUCUAUAAAUGAAAGUGUAAGCAUUCCACCUCAAGAGUAAUUUGGCAACAUUGGAACUGAAAUCAUUAGACCGUUUCUGAAACCAGUAGUGAUGUAUGUUGUUUAAUUUGAUAAUCCGCAAAAAACCUUACCACAAUUAUGUGAAUAGAUAUAUUUUAUCAUACAAGCGUUGCACGGCUGUCUUUAGUUAAUGUCGUGAGACUUUGGUUAGUUCCAUAAAAUUAACGUAAACCCUUACUUUAUUUUAAAAUAAAGUAGCUCACCGCUAUAUUGGAUGUGAUAACAGGGAUCAAGACAAGUCAUCAUGACCUAAUAUAUUGUGGGCUAUAGACGUGCCGCAUAUGCCUUACAAAGAGAUGCUAAAUUGCGAAAUUGAGCUA